Molecule: ribosomal RNA, 497 nt
Filed under: uncultured bacterium
Lineage: Bacteria
Description: partial 16S ribosomal RNA
Rfam family: Bacterial small subunit ribosomal RNA
Source: RNAcentral
GACGAACGCUGGCGGCGUGCCUAAUACAUGCAAGUUGAGCGCUGAAGGUUGGUACUUGUACCGACUGGAUGAGCAGCGAACGGGUGAGUAACGCGUGGGGAAUCUGCCUUUGAGCGGGGGACAACAUUUGGAAACGAAUGCUAAUACCGCAUAAAAACUUUAAACACAAGUUUUAAGUUUGAAAGAUGCAAUUGCAUCACUCAAAGAUGAUCCCGCGUUGUAUUAGCUAGUUGGUGAGGUAAAGGCUCACCAAGGCGAUGAUACAUAGCCGACCUGAGAGGGUGAUCGGCCACAUUGGGACUGAGACACGGCCCAAACCCCUACGGGAGGCAGCAGUAGGGAAUCUUCGGCAAUGGACGAAAGUCUGACCGAGCAACGCCGCGUGAGUGAAGAAGGUUUUCGGAUUGUAAAACUCUGUUGGUAGAGAAGAACGUUGGUGAGAGUGGAAAGCUCAUCAAGUGACGGUAACUACCCAGAAAGGGACGGCUAACUACGUG